ACGAACGCUGGCGGCAUGCCUAAUACAUGCAAGUCGAGCGGAGUUGAUGAGAAGCUUGCUUCUUUGAUGGUUAGCGGCGGACGGGUGAGUAACACGUAGGCAACCUGCCCUCAAGUUUGGGACAACUACCGGAAACGGUAGCUAAUACCGAAUAGUUGUUUUCUUCGCCUGAAGGAAACUGGAAAGACGGAGCAAUCUGUCACUUGGGGAUGGGCCUGCGGCGCAUUAGCUAGUUGGUGAGGUAACGGCUCACCAAGGCGACGAUGCGUAGCCG
This 274-nucleotide ribosomal RNA is filed under the name Paenibacillus sp. ISO356_OTU8029. Its description in RNAcentral is "partial 16S ribosomal RNA". It matches the Rfam family "Bacterial small subunit ribosomal RNA", at positions 29 to 289 of the family's 1533-position model. Lineage: Bacteria; Bacillati; Bacillota; Bacilli; Caryophanales; Paenibacillaceae. The record is from RNAcentral.